This is a long non-coding RNA of Spinacia oleracea (spinach), 1722 nucleotides long. RefSeq lists it as uncharacterized. The record is from RefSeq and is a predicted model, not a curated record. NCBI's taxonomy places the organism in Eukaryota, Viridiplantae, Streptophyta, Magnoliopsida, Caryophyllales, Amaranthaceae. The transcript has 2 exons.
CCCCCCUUGAUGUUGUCCUCCCUCCCCUUGAACCUGCUCCACCUCUGCACAUCCUACCGCCUCGUCCAAGUUGGGUGGGUUGUGCAGUUGCAUUGUGGUGAGCAGUUGAUGAUUGUGCCACUUGUGAGUGAGAGAUAGGAGGUUGCCCAUCCUUCCUUGGUCUACCUCUAGACCUCUUUGGUGGUGGUUCAGUUGGGGCAGAGGCAGUGUCUUUGUUGGGGCACCAUCUUUUGUUGUGGCCUUUAACAUGACAUAUACUACAUGUCAUUUCCAUGCCGGUUCUUUUCAAGGUUCCCGGCUUCUUGGGAUCCUCCAUUGGAUCCUUUCUCCUGUUUACUCUAGGCCUCCCUGGCCCAAUUUUGAUGGGAGGGGGAUCUAAACCAUACUCUACCCUCGGCCAAUACCUUUCACCAUCUAUGGGUGGUAUUGAACCUGAAAAUAACAAAGCAUAAUUAUCAACUUGCAAACACGAUUACUUUCCUAAGUAUCAACUAGCAAACACGAUUACUUGCCUAAGUGUCACAUACCAAACACGAUUACGUGCCUAAGUGUCAACUAGCAAACACGAUUACUCGCCUAACUAUGAGUAUGAUUACAUGAUUGGAAAAUAAACAAGGGUUACCUGCAUAGGCCUUCAAGUAUCACUACAAGAAGCGGUGAUUUUACGACCGAAAUUUCCGACCGUAUAAAAAGUAGUCGCUAAAAUUAAAUUUUACCGACUAAAUAAUAGGUAGUCGUUAAAUUCAAUUUUUACCGACUAACAUUUUGUGGUCGGUAAUUUACGACUACUUUACAGGUAAACUACGACUACUUAGUAGUCGUGAAUAAAGUUGACCAAAACAAAUUUUCAAAAAAACUUACCGACUACUUUUACCGACCAAAUAAUUUUACCGACUACCUAAUGUAGUCGGAAUUUACCGACUACUUUGAAGUUGGUCGUUAAAAUAGAGUUUUACCGACUACUUUGAUGUUGGUCGUUAAUUUAACGACUAAAAAAGUAGUCGAUAAAAUAUCGGCCCAAAAAAAAUUCCAACAUUUUUCUAAAUAUUAAAAGUUAUUACCGACUACUAAAUUAGUCGGAAAUUUCAAUGAAUACCGACUAAUUUAGUAGUCGGUAUUAUUUUAAAAAUAAUAAAAUUUAUUACCGACUACUAAGUUAGUCGGAAAUUUCAAUAAAUACCGACUAAUUUAGUAGUCGGUGAUUUUUUUUUAAUUAAAACAAAUAAAGUAGUCGUUACUGUACUCUUUUAGAGAUUUGGGCUUUGGGCUUUAGAAUUUCAGUAUUUCACGCAUCAUCACACAACCACAAAAACCCUAACCUACUCUCAUAUCCUCUCUCUCUCUCUCCUCCCUCUUCACGUCGUUUCCCCCUUUUCCAACUCUCUCCUUUCUAAUUCUAUGCAACGUAUAUCUCCCAAUCCUCUCUUCUUCAGAUCAUCAUCACCUCACCGAUCUCCUUCAUCAUCAACCUCCUUUUAUCAUCAUCGACACCGUAGAUGAUCAUCAAAAUUGGGGAUGGAAGAUCUCAAGCAAAUAUUUGGAGUGAGGAGCAAAAUCUUGUUUUGUAAUUUUCGUUUUAGAUUAGAUUAAGUAUUAUAAUUUUUUCGACUCUAUUAGAUCUAACUUGUUGGUACAAGUAUUGUUGUAAUAACUCUUGAAUAUAUAAGUUUGGGUUUCAUUUUCUUUGUGGGUUAAUAAUAUGAAAAGUUGUUUUGAUUGUUA